CUCUUCUCAGUCUCUCUUCUUUGUUUUCUCUCUUCUCAGUCUCUUCUCAGUCUCUCUUUUCGACUAUAUCCUCAGUCACACGAUGCCUAAUCGAGGAAAAAAGAGAAAACUUGAUCGUAAUGUUUCUCAGAUUCCCGGAGGGUCAAGAGUACGACCGACAAAUCUUUCCAGUCAAUACGACUUCACGCCGGCAGUCCAAGCUCCUCCUCCGCGGCAGAUACCUGAAGAAGUCCCUAUUUUGCCUCGACAACCAACGCAAUCCCAGAUCCGGGACUAUCCUCCGCCUCAACAACUAUUUCAGGGCUCCUCUAGUCGCCAACCUCAACCUCCAGUACGCCGGUCUCCUUCAGAAGAAGUUAACUACAAUCCAGCGACUCAUGCAAAUCUUCAAGAUGACUCACCACCUUCUCCAGUCCAACGGUCUCAGUCUCGUAGUCAUCCAUCUCAAGUUCAACGCUCUCAGACUCGUAGUCAUCCAUCAUCUCAAGGCAACAACUUGGAAGAAGAAACUGAUGCGGCGUUGCCGGAACUCCAGGAGGACGUGGCUCGGGCUCUAAAUGCCCUGCUUCUGGUGCCAAACAGGGAUCAGUUCACCACGGUCCUCUCUCCCACACCCUUACCGAACACCCAAUGGUUUACUCGUGACAAAGGAUCGAAACUUGUUCGGAAGAUUACUAAAAUUCUUCUAAACAAGCUGGGACACUGAAGAAGCACAACAAAAGAGUAAAACCUACUCUGAUGCCCGUAUGUCUGACCGUAACGGCCUAGGUCCUCAUGUCCACCUCUCAGGGCCAAAGUCGUAUCGAGAGCUUCAAGAUGAAAUGGAACAUGAAUUGGGAAGAGAAGUCCGACUUGGUGAGGUUUUUAUCAAGGCACAUACAAAGCCCGAUGGUACAUAUGUUGAUCGGAAGGCAUAAAAGAUUGCAGAAACAUAUGAGAAGACUGUUCAAGACAGGUUGUCUCAGCUCGAAGCAGAGUCUACUGCUGUGUCAGAUGGAGAAUCACGGCCACGGGACCUCACAACAGAAGAAUAUACAGAAAUUUUCCUUCAGUCCACUGAGAAGGAUUCAAGAGGAACACCUUAUGGAGUUGGAAGCCUCAAGGACUGCCUUAUCAAUGGAAAGCAUAAGCAAGCAAGUGGCUCUUCUACCUUUGUGGCUCUCGAAGAACAGUUGAAGGAAGCUAAACGCAUGAUUGAAGAACAGGCUGCUCAACUGAAGCGGCGUGAUGAAGAAAUUGCUGCGCGUGAAGCUGAGCAAUCCAAAGUUAUUGCUGCCCAGAAGGACAAGAUUGACCAAUUUUCCAUCGUGGAGGAGUUUCUAAGGGAAUGUGAUCCGAGGUUUCAGUCCUUUGUUGCAAGCCAUUCACCUAAAGAGACAACCACAGAACCAACUCCAACUCCAUCAACAUCUGCUUAGUAGGUUUCUCUGUUUUAACUCCCUUUUGGAUGAACUCAAUAUCUCUCUCUUUUGGAUGAACUCAAUCUCUCUCUCUUUUGGUUGAACUCUAUCUCUCUCUUUU
RNA transcript from Camelina sativa (false flax), 1521 nucleotides. RefSeq lists it as uncharacterized. The record is from RefSeq and is a predicted model, not a curated record. NCBI's taxonomy places the organism in Eukaryota, Viridiplantae, Streptophyta, Magnoliopsida, Brassicales, Brassicaceae.